GUUUUAAUUGAUUAAGUCAUAUCAUUCGAUUGCUUUCUGUCACCGACAUCGUCAUCUUCACUACAUUGUGCCAGAACCUAUUUUCGUAUCUGCGUGGUUGUGUUCUUGUUUGGAUUGUCUAUUUGAUUGGUUGUGCUUUUACAAUGAGCGUCAGAAUUGUUGACCCUAAAAUAAUUGCCGUGGGUAUCAUAACCACACGGUAUGCUACAAGGUUGUUUAAGUGUGUCAUGCAUCCAGUGCUUGUAUAAGU
Molecule: long non-coding RNA, 250 nt
Filed under: Sorghum bicolor (sorghum)
Lineage: Eukaryota; Viridiplantae; Streptophyta; Magnoliopsida; Poales; Poaceae
Description: long non-coding RNA (SBIC_LNC002485)
Source: RNAcentral